GGCUUGCAGACUGCAGAUGAGAGACUCGGGAGCAGAGACAAUUUUAACUUAGCCAUCCCUAAUUUAUCUCAAGCUUUUUCAAUUCAUCUUCACUGCUCUGUGCACAUUGGAACACCAGAUUGUCAACCCCUGGGAACAGAAUGCAACCAGGGAACUAGAGAGCUGUCACAUCCUGAGAAAUAUUUAAAUUGUGCCGAUUUUCUUCUGGAGUGCUGAGCAGAGGGAAUGAAACUCUCCAUCAAGUCCUAGCUUUGCGGGCAAUAGAUCAGAGGAUACUGCCAGUUUUUCUAAUGGAUUAUUGUUAUCGGGCAGGUUCUUCCUGAAGAGGAUCCAGCCUCCUGGGGACAGACUAGACCACAACAUACUUUCCUUUUGAGUAAUAAUGCAUAUGGAGCAUGGAGGUCAGUGUGGACACUCUCCAGAAGCUCACUAGGUGACUGCAAAUGUGUGGAGUACCAUGGCAGAGUUUACAUUGCGACCAGUUACCAAAGCUAUUUCAAACAUCACUGUCCUGUAUUGCAAUCUUCUCUAGACUUAUCUUUAGUAAUGCAUCUCCUUGAUGCAACAGCAUUGUUACUGGCCCAUUGUCUUUAGGUGAAUCCUUACAACAUGAGGGGUGAAUCAAUGUCAGUGUAGCCUCCUGUUUGCUUAGUACUGUAUUUACUGUGUGGAGAAAAGGACUAGUGUUCUGGUCAUGCCUGCCAUAAUUGUAAUUACUUGACGUAGUUUUACUGAGCAAAGUUUACUCCAAGUUUCUUGAUCUGAAAACACUCUUUUCAUGUGCUCAUAAGAUGAGCACAUCUUAUUCAGUAAGAGUUUCAUUACUAAAGCAGUAGAUUCAGUAGUCAUGGAUUUGAUGAAGACCAGUGCUGUCUAAAAGACAAGUUGUAUGCUUUAGCAAAAUGUGUUUAUCAACUUAACGUCUGUACUGUUUCCAGAAUGUUGAGAAGUAUACUGAGUAUCUUGAUGAAAUGAAUUUGUAUAAUGAGAAAAGAAUAUCAGUAUGGUACUGUUUAAUUAACAACAACGAAGAAGACAAAAAAAAAAUUUUCCUCCAGAUAUGACCCAAUUUCCACUUUUGGAGUAGAUGGCAGAUAUUUUAAAUGGGUGCUGUAGUUUUUAUGCUGAUGUAUUAGCUGAUUACUUAAAGAAUGCGUUCAUUCAUAUGAUACAUUCCAUUGCUUUGUCAUGUUUUGUCAAUUUGAGUUGACUUAUAAUGUGUGCUGUGUAACAUGAUGUGAUACCACAUCAUUUGACAUAAAUUGGCAUAAUAUAAUUUAGCAGGUUAGAAAAGUAAGGUAAACAAAAUUGUGUCUGUGAUGAAAUUCAUGUUGCUCAUUUGAG
Long non-coding RNA from Numida meleagris (helmeted guineafowl), 1344 nucleotides. RefSeq lists it as uncharacterized. The record is from RefSeq and is a predicted model, not a curated record. Lineage: Eukaryota; Metazoa; Chordata; Aves; Galliformes; Numididae. The transcript has 3 exons.